Molecule: ribosomal RNA, 460 nt
Filed under: uncultured bacterium
Lineage: Bacteria
Description: partial 16S ribosomal RNA
Rfam family: Bacterial small subunit ribosomal RNA
Source: RNAcentral
CCUACGGGAGGCAGCAGUGAGGAAUAUUGGUCAAUGGGCGCGAGCCUGAACCAGCCAAGUAGCGUGAAGGAUGACUGCCCUACGGGUUGUAAACUUCUUUUGUGAAGGAAUAAAGUGAGGCACGUGUGCCUUUUUGUAUGUACUUUAUGAAUAAGGAUCGGCUAACUCCGUGCCGGCAGCCGCGGUAAUACGGAGGAUCCGAGCUUUAUCCGGAUUUAUUGGGUUUAAAGGGAACGUAGAUGGGUUGUUAAGUCAGUUGUAAAAGUUUGCGGCUCAACCGUAAAAUUGCAAUUGAUACUGGCAGUCUUGAGUAUAGUAGAGGUAGGCGGAAUUCGUGGUGUAGCGGUGAAAUGCGUAGAGAUCACGAAGAACUCCGAUUGCGAAGGCAGCUUACUAAACUGCCACUGACAUUGAUGCUCGAAAGUGUGGGUAUCAAACAGGAUUAGAUACCCUGGUAGUC